GGAUUAGUGGCGAACGGGUGAGUAUCACGUGAGUAACCUGCCCUUGACUCUGGGAUAAGCCUGGGAAACUGGGUCUAAUACCGGAUGCGACCAGUCCCCGCAUGGGGUGCUGGUGGAAAGAUUUUAUCGGUCUUGGAUGGACUCGCGGCCUAUCAGCUAGACGGUGGGGUAGAAGCCCACCGUGGCGAUGACGGGUAGCCGGCCUGAGAGGGUGACCGGCCACACUGGGACUGAGACACGGCCCAGACUCCUACGGGAGGCAGCAGUGGGGAAUAUUGCACAAUGGGCGCAAGCCUGAUGCAGCGACGCCGCGUGCGGGAUGACGGCCUUCGGGUUGUAAACCGCUUUCAGCAGGGAAGAAGCUUUAUUGUGACGGUACCUGCAGAAGAAGCGCCGGCUAACUACGUGCCAGCAGCCGCGGUAAUACGUAGGGCGCGAGCGUUAUCCGGAAUUAUUGGGCGUAAAGAGCUCGUAGGCGGCUUGUCGCGUCUGCUGUGAAAGCCCGGGGCUUAACCCCGGGUGUGCAGUGGGUACGGGCAGGCUAGAGUGCAGUAGGGGAGACUGGAAUUCCUGGUGUAGCGGUGAAAUGCGCAGAUAUCAGGAGGAACACCGAUGGCGAAGGCAGGUCUCUGGGCUGUUACUGACGCUGAGGAGCGAAAGCAUGGGGAGCGAACAGGAUUAGAUACCCUGGUAGUCCAUGCCGUAAACGUUGGGCACUAGGUGUGGGGGACAUUCCACGUUUUCCGCGCCGUAGCUAACGCAUUAAGUGCCCCGCCUGGGGAGUACGGCCGCAAGGCUAAAACUCAAAGGAAUUGACGGGGGCCCGCACAAGCGGCGGAGCAUGCGGAUUAAUUCGAUGCAACGCGAAGAACCUUACCAAGGCUUGACAUGGACCGGAUCGCUGCAGAGAUGUAGUUUCCCUUCGGGGCUGGUUCACAGGUGGUGCAUGGUUGUCGUCAGCUCCUGUCCUGAGAUGUUUGGGUUAAAUCCCCCAACCAAGGCAAACCCCUAUCCUAUGUUGCCAGCACGUAUUGGUGGGGGACUCAUGGGGAGACUGCCCGGGUUCACUCUCGAAGAAAGGUG
RNAcentral lists this ribosomal RNA (1083 nucleotides) under Nesterenkonia sp. H9. RNAcentral's name for it is "bacterial SSU rRNA". It matches the Rfam family "Bacterial small subunit ribosomal RNA", at positions 89 to 1176 of the family's 1533-position model. Lineage: Bacteria; Bacillati; Actinomycetota; Actinomycetes; Micrococcales; Micrococcaceae. The record is from RNAcentral.